GGUUAGCUCAGUUGGUUAGAGCAUGGUGCUGAUAACACCAAGUUCUAUAGGUUCAAUCCCUGCUGACUG
RNAcentral lists this transfer RNA (69 nucleotides) under Pelecanus crispus (Dalmatian pelican). It matches the Rfam family "tRNA". From Rfam's summary of the family: Transfer RNA (tRNA) molecules are approximately 80 nucleotides in length. Their secondary structure includes four short double-helical elements and three loops (D, anti-codon, and T loops). The record is from Rfam by way of RNAcentral. Lineage: Eukaryota; Metazoa; Chordata; Aves; Pelecaniformes; Pelecanidae.